CGCGGCCUAUCAGCUUGUUGGUGAGGUAAUGGCUCACCAAGGCGUCGACGGGUAGCCGGCCUGAGAGGGUGACCGGCCACACUGGGACUGAGACACGGCCCAGACUCCUACGGGAGGCAGCAGUGGGGGAUAUUGCACAAUGGGCGAAAGCCUGAUGCAGCAACGCCGCGUGAGGGAUGACGGCCUUCGGGUUGUAAACCUCUUUUAGCAGGGAAGAAGCGAAAGUGACGGUACCUGCAGAAAAAGCGCCGGCUAACUACGUGCCAGCAGCCGCGGUAAUACGUAGGGCGCAAGCGUUAUCCGGAAUUAUUGGGCGUAAAGAGCUCGUAGGCGGUUUGCCGCGUCUGCUGUGAAAUCCCGAGGCUCAACCUCGGGCCUGCAGUGGGUACGGGCAGACUAGAGUGCGGUAGGGGAGAUUGGAAUUCCUGGUGUAGCGGUGGAAUGCGCAGAUAUCAGGAGGAACACCGAUGGCGAAGGCAGAUCUCUGGGCCGUAACUGACGCUGAGGAGCGAAAGGGUGGGGAGCAAACAGGCUUAGAUACCCUGGUAGUCCACCCCGUAAACGUUGGGAACUAGUUGUGGGGUCCAUUCCACGGAUUCCGUGACGCAGCUAACGCAUUAAGUUCCCCGCCUGGGG
Molecule: ribosomal RNA, 636 nt
Filed under: uncultured bacterium
Lineage: Bacteria
Description: bacterial SSU rRNA
Rfam family: Bacterial small subunit ribosomal RNA
Source: RNAcentral